RNAcentral lists this small RNA (86 nucleotides) under Otolemur garnettii (small-eared galago). RNAcentral's name for it is "Y RNA (ENSOGAG00000019066.2)". It matches the Rfam family "Y RNA", at positions 7 to 86 of the family's 96-position model. From Rfam's summary of the family: Y RNAs are components of the Ro ribonucleoprotein particle (Ro RNP), in association with Ro60 and La proteins. The Y RNAs and Ro60 and La proteins are well conserved, but the function of the Ro RNP is not known. The record is from Rfam by way of RNAcentral. Lineage: Eukaryota; Metazoa; Chordata; Mammalia; Primates; Galagidae.
CCUGAGUGCAGUGGUGUUCACAACUAAUUGACCAUAACCAGUUACAGAUUCCUUUGUUCCUUCUCCACUCCCACUGCUAGGCUUGG